UACGUAGGUGGCGAGCGUUGUCCGGAAUUACUGGGUGUAAAGGGCGUGUAGGCGGGGAGCCAAGUCAGAUGUGAAAUCCCGUGGCUUAACUGCGGAAUUGCAUCUGAAACUGGUUUUCUUGAGUAUCGGAGAGGAAAGCGGAAUUCCCAGUGUAGCGGUGAAAUGCGUAGAGAUUGGGAGGAACACCGGUGGCGAAGGCGGCUUUCUGGCCGAAGACUGACGCUGAGGCGCGAAAGCGUGGGUAGCGAACAGGAUUAGAUACC
RNAcentral lists this ribosomal RNA (263 nucleotides) under uncultured bacterium. RNAcentral's name for it is "partial 16S ribosomal RNA". It matches the Rfam family "Bacterial small subunit ribosomal RNA", at positions 524 to 786 of the family's 1533-position model. The record is from RNAcentral.